UGCCUCAGCAAAUAUGAUGCACUUGACGUUCAGAGUAGUUUCUUGGAUGAGGAGAUCCGUGCCUGAGUGUUUACAUGGCACUGUUUCUGAUUGCCAGUUGAUACUCUUUCCCGUCACCCUCCGGGGGCCAAGCCAGCCAUGGGCAGGGCUAGCCAGCUCCCUCGCUCCUUCUGUGCUGGUGCUUUUUCAUGCACACUCUUUCCUCUUUCUAAGGUAAGUUCUCCAAAGAAAAUAGGGUGCUUGGAACAAACACACAAUUAAAUAUGGAAGAUGAGAGAAGGGAGAAGACAAACUUGUCACCUUGAAUCUGGGCACAUACGACAGCACCUGGAUUGAAGAUGGCCAAGGAGAGAAGGAAGAGGCGGAGCAAAAGAACACCCCGUCCUGCCCGUCCUGCCCCAGGUGGAUACGAGCACUGCACCUGUGUCAUAGAUGAGGCAUCUGACGCUGAUUGAGGUUACCCAAGGGACGCUCCAAGUUGCUGCGAAGUGUACAGGGCUGAUGUCUCCCACCAGCGCUUUCUGCUCCCAUCCAUACCGCUCGGUCGCGAUCUUUUAUAUGAUAACUCAUACCUCUCAGUUGCAUGGCCCACAUUUCCCAGUUCGCCCUGGAGGGAAAACAAGGCCAUGUCAACAGAAAUAAAGAAUGUUUCUCUGCCUCUGCA
Molecule: non-coding RNA, 664 nt
Organism: Microcebus murinus (gray mouse lemur)
Lineage: Eukaryota; Metazoa; Chordata; Mammalia; Primates; Cheirogaleidae
Source: RefSeq, a predicted model, not a curated record